UACGUAGGGGGCAAGCGUUAUCCGGAAUUACUGGGUGUAAAGGGAGCGUAGACGGUAAUGCAAGUCUGGAGUGAAAGGCGGGGGCCCAACCCCCGGACUGCUCUGGAAACUGUGUAACUGGAGUGCAGGAGAGGCAGGCGGAAUUCCUGGUGUAGCGGUGAAAUGCGUAGAUAUCAGGAGGAACACCGGUGGCGAAGGCAGCUUACUAAGCCAUAACUGACACUGAAGCACGAAAGCGUGGGGAUCAAACAGG
This 253-nucleotide ribosomal RNA is filed under the name uncultured Eubacteriales bacterium. RNAcentral describes it as "uncultured Clostridiales bacterium partial 16S ribosomal RNA". It matches the Rfam family "Bacterial small subunit ribosomal RNA", at positions 524 to 776 of the family's 1533-position model. Lineage: Bacteria; Bacillati; Bacillota; Clostridia; Eubacteriales. The record is from RNAcentral.